RNAcentral lists this ribosomal RNA (439 nucleotides) under uncultured bacterium. RNAcentral's name for it is "bacterial SSU rRNA". It matches the Rfam family "Bacterial small subunit ribosomal RNA", at positions 28 to 477 of the family's 1533-position model. The record is from RNAcentral.
GAUGAACGCUAGCGGCAGGCUUAAUACAUGCAAGUCAAGGGGGUAGCAAUACAACCGGCGCACGGGUGAGUAGCGCGUACACAACAUAUCAUAUACUGGGGUAUAGCUUUGGGAAACUGAAGGUAAUCCCCCAUAACAUUGCGAGAGGGCAUCUGAUUGCAAUUAAAGUUUCGGCGGUAUAUGAUUGGUGUGCGUUUGAUUAGCUAGUUGGUAGGGUAACGGCCUACCAAGGCGACGAUCAAUAGCUGGCGUGAGAGCGCGACCAGCCACACUGGAACUGAGACACGGUCCAGACUCCUACGGGAGGCAGCAGUAGGGAAUAUUGGACAAUGGAGGAAACUCUGAUCCAGCCAUGCCGCGUGAUAGAUGAAGGCCCUCUGGGUUGUAAAUAUCUUUUAUCUGGGAAGAAACAAUCUUAAUCCUUAAGAUCUUGACGGUA